GGUAACUCGCAAGACAGAGAACGAUUUGUGGUACACACAUAACUCUUGUCAUCUAUCGUUCUAACUCUUUACAAAUAGGGUCUACGCUAAAUAUAUCGUAUAAUAACAUCCAAGUGCUCCUUUACGUACGGUAACUAACUGUAAGCUAACAUCAACACCUAGUAAGACAUUGAAUUGAUGGGGAAGUUGUGUGUGCAUUCUUAAUUUGUUCACAUUUUGUGUAUGGUAAAGAUAAGUUGUAAACUCGACAUUUGAACCCAGGUCACAAAACUGAUAACGAAGAUACAUGGUGAAAAACAGGAACUCUGAUAAAGACACCAGAAUAAAGUGAGUCCAUAACUUCAUCACGAGGACACGAAACAUAUGAGGAUAAACAUAGGUGCGGGAAAUAUGCAAACAACAUGGUUACUCUUGCUAGUAAUAAGCUUUUCGGGUGGUAAAACGUACGGAUUUUCGGAUCUCGAGAAUUUCAUCAGGGUCAUCGGUUCAUUGAACCCAAACCAGACAGUGGUGAACUAUUUAAAUGAGUCAGUGUUUUGGAAACAGCCAAAGUCGAUUCUUCAAAAACUAUUCAACUACGAAGGGUACAAUAUUAAUCGCAAAAUUCGGCAAUCUGAUGGCACUUUUCUGUCUUUGUCUAGAGACUUUGUUGUUUACCGCCAACCGAAUACAUCUGAAAUUCUGCAGGUUUUGAUGAAUCCAAUUUCCUACAACGCAAACGAGGUUUUCAACGUUGCAAACGAUCCAGUGAACGCUCACAUUGGAAGCGCAUCGCCAGCAAUGCCUGUACCGCCUCAUUUACCAGAAUUUCUGGUAUAUAAUACUGAUAUCAUAUUGGAAUAUCCGAAUCCUUUGCAGCCGAAUAACUAUGCCCAUUACUCCGCUGGACCCGUAUACGAUUGCGUAGAGUUAUUCGGAUUAUUUUCUAAUUCAACCCUUAUAAAUGCAUCAAAAACAGAUAGCGUGCCAAUGACAGGUACGUGGAUGCGAAAAUCCCAAUACUUUCCCUGGAUGGAACUAGGUACAACUCCUGGGUCUUUGUUUUGACACAACACUCGCUUGGAAAUGUUACGAUGGUCUCCAAUGCGUAGCGGAUGAUAUCAUGCAGAUUAUCAAGCAAAACUUCCCAAAAUAUCAGUAUGCGCCAUCUACGGAAGAAGUCCCGAACGAAACGUCGUGGACGGCUUUCAAAAAGAUUAUAGACCAACGCAGACUUGCAGGUCUACCGGAUAGUAUUAUACCCCAGGUGAACGCUUCCUCGGAUGUGAAAGACAUGACCUACGACGUAGACCAACGUGUGCUAGACAUCCUGUACAAAUGGCCAUUAAUGGUUCGCGUCAAUGGAACGGCUUGGUCGGAGAUUACAGGACAGCAAGGCAUUGCCUUGUUAGACAUCGUUGGUUACGUGGAAGUUGACCUCGAACCUUUGAUUACAGCGGCUACUGUCUCCAGCUAGAUGGCGCGUUGCUCUUAUACAAUAGGACAACGCACGCCGUCAUUCAAAACUUCCACAAUCCAAUCACUUGCCGCGUUAACAAGGUUAAUCCUAUAACGGUUGCGACAGACCUUAUCUUUCCCAAUGAUUCCUUCUUUACUGUAGACAUACCAUCGUCCAAAAUGGUCGGUUUGAUUGGGGCUCAGUCCACGGAGACCGAUAAUGGAUUGGCAGUAAAUAUGCUGAAUUUUUUGUUUCCAUGGCAGGCUCAGAAUCUCUCGUCCACAUUUUAUGGAACGUGGUCUACGUUUGCAUCGUGGCCUGAGUUCAUGGUAAUGGGUGAUUCACCAGGGAAUAUUGUGCAAAAGCUAACGGUUUUCAAUAGUAGUAAAACUGUAUUGCACUGAUGAGAAAGUGAAUCAGAAGGCAUGAAAUCGUACACCACCUGCUACUGGCGGAAUUGUAUUAACUCUUUUGUCAAACGUUGAUUCGCAUUGUCGAUAAAAAUAGACCCAUGCUUUGUAUUUACUUGUAUGCAUGUCUUGUACAAUACAGUUUCUUUGAAACACCGUGUCAUUGAAAUAUAAAUGUGUAUCGUAUAUAAUCGCACAUAUUGUUAAGAGCUAGAACAUUUAAAGGCCUCUAGACCGAAACCACAAUGCUCAAUAUACCAAAAUACUAUUCCACAACGCCGUAAACGACCCUUGCACGUCAGUGUAUGAAGAUGAAUAUCACCUUAAAGGGGUCUUUUCACAGAUUUUGGCAUUUUUUGAAGAUUGUAAUUAAAUUAUUUGUAUUGAUAAAUGUAAACAUUUGAUCUAAAAUGUACCAGAAAAAAUCAAGGAUAAAAUUUAAAAAAAAAUGAAAAAAGUAACCCUAGGAAGAGAUCGAAGUAAUGACCCCUGGAGUCCUUGAGUAAAUGUUUGACGUCGUGUUACCAUCCGGCAAUAUACGAAUAUAAUUAAUGACUGUGUCUUAAAGUGAGCACUGUCUACACAAUUAUGAAUAAUCUUUCUCAUAAAAUAACAAGAUAUACGUUCAACUAUACUUAUAAAUAUUAAGUGCUGUGUGAAAAGGGGGUUAAAUGCAUGUGCCGUCCGUACAGUCCGCACUGGCUAAUCAGUGAAAACACUUUCCGCCUUCAGUGGAUUAUUGCUAAGAAGAUACUUUCUUUAAACCGAAAAUAUCAUAACAGCGGAAAGUAGCGUCCCUGAGUAGCCAGUGUGGACUUCAUUGUAUAAUCUCGGACGAAACUUUACGCAAAUGCAUGAAAACCCCUUUUCACAGAGCACCGCUUAGUUGUUUUUUAAAACAAUUUAACCUGUACUAUUGCGUGUGCCUCAAUACAAACAUUGACGAAACCACUGUUUGUGAUUUGGAUCUUUCUGAUUUAAACAAAGAUGCUCUAAUGUUAAACUUUAUACGGGUAUGUCUCUCAAGCUUUUUUUCGAAGGAAAACUGGUUAUUAUAUUGGUGAAUGGUGUUGCGUUGUGUGUGCCCCAAUACAUACAUACACAGAUACACAACACUCUUUUAAUUUGGACCUGAUGCUCCUUUUGGUUACAUUAAUCGUCAUUCAGACAGUUACAGUUUCGGUGUUCUGAUUUGUAUCAAACCAUUGAGUACUUAAAUGGUAAUUGAACUUUUAUCGCUUUUAUUGCAAUUUACUUUGAAUCGUGAUGCUACGAAAAUGCAUUUAAUUUACUCUUAAAAUAUAAUGUGAGUAUUUAUAUGCCACCCAUGAGGUUUGUAGCUCCAUAUAACCGCCCCCGCCAAAUCAAUACUCUUGUAUUGACCGUCCCAAGGCGGUGCCCCCGGUUAAUUCAUGUGUGUGGAUUUCUUAUUUUGUUAUGUGUGUGUCAUGUAUUAUCUGCUGCUAGUAAAACUGAAAUGUAA
Long non-coding RNA from Dreissena polymorpha, 3331 nucleotides. RefSeq lists it as uncharacterized. The transcript is spliced from 2 exons. NCBI's taxonomy places the organism in Eukaryota, Metazoa, Mollusca, Bivalvia, Myida, Dreissenidae. The record is from RefSeq and is a predicted model, not a curated record.